GUGGAGCAGGAACAGAGGUGGACUGGAAUGUCACACGACGGGGCAGCUGGAAGUGCACAAAAACACUCUCCACACCAAGCUGCUGCUGCUGGGGGAUGGAGGGAUGGCGUCAGCGAUUCAAGACUGUUUUUCCUACCUGUUCAGCACUUCUUUCAGCGAUAUGAAGUUAAAUCCAGCUCACAGGUCCCUGAGUGAAGAGGAGCCACCCCUGAGGAGUUGUACCCAAGGAGACUCAGCCACAGCCAGACCUACUGCACAUUUUGAGAUCAUGGUCUUGGAGCCUGAUGUCGUGAUUGGGUGCUUUGGGAAGGUCCUCACUGUCCCCAGAAGGAAGAGAGGCACACAGCGCUCCCCAGCCGCUGGAAUCCAGGAAGAAUUGAGGUGCUCAAGACCCACCACCUCUUUGCCUGCAAACUCUAAGCUCACUGUCCUGCUCCCUUGCUCCCAGAAGUGGCACUGGAUGGAUCCCAUCCAGGUCAGCCCAGGCUGUCAUUUCCUCCCCUUCUGUACCUAAUCUCAGCGAGAUGAAGAGUUUACACCUG
This 542-nucleotide long non-coding RNA is filed under the name Homo sapiens (human). RNAcentral's name for it is "USP2 antisense RNA 1". The record is from RNAcentral. Lineage: Eukaryota; Metazoa; Chordata; Mammalia; Primates; Hominidae.